UACGUAGGGUGCAAGCGUUAAUCGGAAUUACUGGGCGUAAAGCGUGCGCAGGCGGUUAUGUAAGACAGAUGUGAAAUGCCCGGGCUUAACCUGGGGACUGCAUUUGUGACUGCAUGGCUAGAGUGUGUCAGAGGGGGGUAGAAUUCCACGUGUAGCAGUGAAAUGCGUAGAGAUGUGGAGGAAUACCGAUGGCGAAGGCAGCCCCCUGGGAUAACACUGACGCCCAUGCACGAAAGCGUGGGGAGCAAACAGG
Molecule: ribosomal RNA, 253 nt
Filed under: uncultured bacterium
Lineage: Bacteria
Description: partial 16S ribosomal RNA
Rfam family: Bacterial small subunit ribosomal RNA
Source: RNAcentral